GGUGGGUACGCCAGGCUGUGUUGAUAUCCUUUACACCAGUAUCUUGAACAAUUUAUUAUAGACGAAAUAAUACUGGUUUGUGCACCGAUCAUAUUCACUGUAAAUUAUUCCUGCUACAAAAGUAGGGGUACUCCAGAUAGUGGAGGGAAAAAGAAGAACAAUGUCAAAUAAAAUGCGUUGGAGAGAUUUGAGGGCCCAAAAUUCCGAAAAAUUUUUAACCAAACUUUUAAGCUAAGGUAAUAUAUGGGGUGGAAAAUCCUUAGUUUGAUGAUAGACCUUUUUGCACCAGUGUGAAGAGUUGGCUCAUUGGCAAUCACACCACAUCUUAUUUUAUAUUUUUCAAAGUUUAGUAACUAAGUUAAACAUAUAUAUCCCAUCGAACUUGAGAUAAGUCUGUAUCAUAUCUUAAUAAUGAGGUUCGUUUGAAAACAAAACUGUACGAAACAAAAGAGAUGUAUUAG
Molecule: long non-coding RNA, 461 nt
Filed under: Mytilus galloprovincialis (Mediterranean mussel)
Lineage: Eukaryota; Metazoa; Mollusca; Bivalvia; Mytilida; Mytilidae
Source: RNAcentral